This 265-nucleotide non-coding RNA is filed under the name Ricinus communis (castor bean). RNAcentral describes it as "Eukaryotic large subunit ribosomal RNA". It matches the Rfam family "Eukaryotic large subunit ribosomal RNA", at positions 3134 to 3401 of the family's 3401-position model. Lineage: Eukaryota; Viridiplantae; Streptophyta; Magnoliopsida; Malpighiales; Euphorbiaceae. The record is from Rfam by way of RNAcentral.
GUCAGAAUCCGGGCCAGAAGCGACGCGUUGUCCGCCGCUCGUUUGCCGACCAGCAGUAGGGGCCCUCCGGCCCCCAAAGGCACGUGUCGUUGGCUAAGCCCUCGCGGCGAACGAGCCGCGCGGGCCGCCUUGAAUUACAAUUUCCACCGGGCGGCGGACUGAAUCCUUUGCAGACGACUUAAAUACGCGACGGGGUAUUGUAAGUGGCAGAGUGGCCUUGCUGCCACGAUCCACUGAGAUUCAGCCCUUCGUCGCUCCGAUUCGU